RNAcentral lists this small RNA (138 nucleotides) under Chelonoidis abingdonii (Abingdon island giant tortoise). Its description in RNAcentral is "TUC338 (ENSCABG00000004113.1)". The record is from RNAcentral. Lineage: Eukaryota; Metazoa; Chordata; Testudines; Testudinidae.
GAGACUGCCGUCCUGUUUAUCCACAGAACAGGUACAGCAUUGGCAGGGGCAUGCUUCCACACAGUCCUGCCAAUGUGCCUUAGCCCUGACCUGGAGGUACCAGGACAACAAGCUGGGCCAUGUUUAUUUGUGGAACCU